CUCUGGGGAGCGGCCACAAGAUGGCAGUGUUUCAGAACAUUGUUUUACGGGGACGUGAGCUUAGCUGAAACGCUGACCAGGAAGGUGUCGAUGCAGCCUUGAUAUUUAAAGAGGUAAAUCCUUUCCUGCUGAGAGUAGAAGCAUCAUAGAGCAUGUUCUGGACAAUUUCUGGUGACUCAUCCCUAGAGCCCCUGGACACUGGCUGAAAUGCAAUGCAGAAGGCCGAUCUCUUAGACGGAUGGAAAUACCAAACUGUUGGGGUCUCCUGCCUCCUGAAGAAACACUGGUGUCAGACUAUGAAUCAACAGUCUCCUCUGAGAAACGUGUUCAUUCCAUCAUGGGAAGCAUGAAGAACAAAGCUAACUGCCA
Molecule: long non-coding RNA, 369 nt
Filed under: Chinchilla lanigera (long-tailed chinchilla)
Lineage: Eukaryota; Metazoa; Chordata; Mammalia; Rodentia; Chinchillidae
Description: lncRNA (ENSCLAG00000026196.1)
Source: RNAcentral